RNAcentral lists this long non-coding RNA (393 nucleotides) under Physcomitrium patens. Its description in RNAcentral is "long non-coding RNA (PPAT_LNC000548)". The record is from RNAcentral. Lineage: Eukaryota; Viridiplantae; Streptophyta; Bryopsida; Funariales; Funariaceae.
GGCGGGACUUGCUAUCCCUAAGUAUUUUCUAAACCCCUUUUAUCCUUUUAUAGUGUAAGUGGACAAAAUCCAUUACACGACCCAGGAAUUUCUCCACUCCACCUCUUUUCUUGAAGGGAACAUGGUGUAUUGUUAAUAAGUGCUAUUUCAAUUUGUAGUUAUUUUGUAGAAAGUGAAGUCGAGUUAAUGAUCGGUAUGACUUUUUUUUGUUGUUGAGUCUGUACUUAUAGGACGUAAUGACCCCCAUGAGACAAAGUUGAAAGCAACAGGUUGCCCUAUAAGUUGCCCUUUUUCUCCUCCAUCUGAUUUUUGUGGUAUCCAUGUGAUAAAAAUUUUAAAUUACUUAUACUUUCCCUAGCCUCAUUUUUCAAUCUCUAAAUUAUGAAUCAAGUC